This 776-nucleotide ribosomal RNA is filed under the name uncultured Neocallimastigales. RNAcentral describes it as "partial large subunit ribosomal RNA". It matches the Rfam family "Eukaryotic large subunit ribosomal RNA", at positions 22 to 621 of the family's 3401-position model. The record is from RNAcentral. Lineage: Eukaryota; Fungi; Neocallimastigomycota; Neocallimastigomycetes; Neocallimastigales.
UAGAUGCGAGAGUAGAGCAUAUCAAUAAGCGGAGGAAAAGAAACUAACAAGGAUUCCCUUAGUAACGGCGAGUGAAGCGGGAAGAGCUCAAAUUUGAAAUCUUCAAGGUUUUACCUUGACGAAUUGUAGUUUAAAGAAGUGUUUUCUGUUGGAGUUUUGGUAAAAGUUCUUUGGAAUAGGACAUCAUAGAGGGUGAGAAUCCCGUAUUUGACCAUUAUUUCCAGCUGUGUGAUAGCACUUUCAAAGAGUCGGAUUGUUUGGGAAUGCAGUCCAAAAUGGGUGGUAAAUUUCAUCCUAAAGCUAAAUAUUGGCGAGAGACCGAUAGCGAACAAGUACCGUGAGGGAAAGAUGAAAAGAACUUUGAAAAGAGAGUUAAACAGUACGUGAAAUUGUCAAAAGGGAAGCGUUUGAUACCAGUGUUGUUUUCUCGAAAAUCAAUUAAAAAUGAUGGGAUUUUGUGUUGUAUUGACUUUAUCAGCUUUCUGCACUUUUUUCUUAUCUUUUUUAAUGCACUUUUCGUUUAACAAGUCAACAUCAAUUUCUUUUGUUGUAAAAGAGUCAUUGGAAGGUGGCUUUUUCUUCGGAAAAAGUGUUUAUAGCCUUUGGCUUCUGCAAUCGGAGAGAUUGAGGUCUGCAGCGUAGAUCCUUCGGGGUUAGAUACAUUUGUGCUAAGCUAUAGUUCUUUAUAGACAACUUGUUGACUAUAAUCAAUCCUGUAACUUACUCGCUUAUGCUAUUUUACCUACGCUUAGGAUGUUGACACACGCGCGUGCUCG